This is a long non-coding RNA of Cygnus olor (mute swan), 431 nucleotides long. RefSeq lists it as uncharacterized. The transcript is spliced from 4 exons. Lineage: Eukaryota; Metazoa; Chordata; Aves; Anseriformes; Anatidae. The record is from RefSeq and is a predicted model, not a curated record.
CACGAUUCAGUCGUGUCCUCCUCCUCCGUCCCGCUCCCAAAACACUGAACGCUGGCACCUUGUGUCGGUGGUAUCGGUUUCCCACUCUUUGCAGGUCUUUCCUGGGACCUGCAAGGAGUGCAACCGAGGGAAGAGUGAGAAACCAACCUUAUGUCUUCGUGUGUACCGCAGGUUAUUAGCUACUCUGAGAACUGAAGGACUUUACCCACACUGACAAAGCUAUGCACCGUGACCCCAAGAUCAACGUUAAGCUUAUACUGAUACAAAGAAAGAUUUGGACAACAAAAAUAGUGGUUGGAACUGCUCCAGUGCAGAAAGCUUCAAAAUAACUGACUGACUAGGGAGGAAAGAGAGGAGAGCCUGCAGGAUAUACCGAGAUUUGGGCAACAAGAACGACUUAAGACUGGUUUGGCAGCUAGCAGAUCGCUUUU